AAGUCGUAACAAGGUUUCCGUAGGUGAACCUGCGGAAGGAUCAUUAACACAAUACUUUCUUAUCAACCUAGUUGCAUUCGUCUGACCCUUUUUAUUCAGAGGUCGACUAGAUCAUGGUUGGAUUGCGGUCUAGUCUGCUGUCGAAGUUAGCCCGUCUUCUCUCUCGAGAGAAGGCGACCGGUCUAACGCUCUGCUUAAGAAGGUAAGUAGCCACAACCAUGGCUGCGCCCAUUUUUUUUUUUAACCUUUGUUUAUUGUACUGAUUUGGGCUUCAGAUCGAGAGGAGCAAUCCUUUCUCUGCCAGCUUUUGAUGGAGUAAUCCAUUCAAUUAACCAAAACACAACUCUUAACAGUGGAUAUCUCGGUUCUC
RNAcentral lists this unclassified non-coding RNA (370 nucleotides) under fungal sp. RNAcentral describes it as "partial internal transcribed spacer region". The stretch from base 1 to 46 matches the Rfam family "Eukaryotic small subunit ribosomal RNA", at positions 1786 to 1831 of the family's 1831-position model. Lineage: Eukaryota; Fungi. The record is from RNAcentral.